RNAcentral lists this ribosomal RNA (497 nucleotides) under uncultured bacterium. RNAcentral describes it as "partial 16S ribosomal RNA". It matches the Rfam family "Bacterial small subunit ribosomal RNA", at positions 28 to 507 of the family's 1533-position model. The record is from RNAcentral.
GAUGAACGCUGGCGGCGUGCCUAAUACAUGCAAGUCGAGCGAAAAGACGAGGAGCGUGUGCCUCUACGGUUAGCGGCGGACGGGUGAGUAACACGUGGAUAAGCUACCUAUAAGACGGGGAUAAUAUCGGGAAACCACUGCUAAUACCGCAUAAUAUAUUGAACCGCAGGGUGCAAUAGUGAAAGAGACCUUUGCCGUCAGUAAGAGAUGGAGCCGCGCCGCAUUAGCGAGUUGGUAAGGUAACGGCCUACCAAGGAAACGAUGCGUAGCCGACCUGAGAGGGUGAUCGGCCACACUGGAACUGAGACACGGUCCAGACUCCUACGGGAGGCAGCAGUGGGGAAUCUUGCGCAAUGGGCGCAAGCCUGACGGAGCCAUACCGCGUGGGUGAUGAAGGUCUUCGGGUCGUAAAGCUCUGUUGUUGGGAAAGAACAGCUGUAUAUGUAACUCUGCACGUCUUGACGGUACCUAAUCAGAAAGCCCCGGCUAACUACGUG